UGAAUAGGGGAGCUUAUGAAUAGGCUGAGAGGAAGUUUUUAACUUCGACCCAUAACCUGAUUUGGAUAAUGCCAACGUAGGGAUAUAUCA
RNAcentral lists this non-coding RNA (90 nucleotides) under uncultured Anaeromassilibacillus sp. Lineage: Bacteria; Bacillati; Bacillota; Clostridia; Eubacteriales; Acutalibacteraceae. The record is from RNAcentral.